AAAAUCUAUUUUGCUGACUAUCUCUUUUCACAGAAAAUGAACAAGUACUCAAGGGGUAAAGGGACGUCAUAUUGGUCAAUUAGAAGACGUGUUCAACAAAGCAACAUCAAGUUCUACAGUUUCACUAUUUGACAAAAGCCCCACUAGCUCAGGUACUUAUAUGAUAUCAUUCUUUGCUGAUUCCAUUUUUUAAAAUAAAUGAUAUCAAAACCAUACAUACAUUUUGGACUAAUUGCAUGUCUGUCUUAAUAUACAGUAACAGAAAAGAAAAUCCUAAACUGUUUGGAGAAACUUAUGGCAAACGUGGAGGAAAUAAAAGUACAGACCCACCUAAAUACACAGCUUCUGCAGGCCACAAUCACAAAGAUCGAUAGACUUGAAAGCCGUCCUGCUCCUGGUACAGAGGAGCCCGACACUACACUGCAGUUAGAUGUAUGUUUUCCACUGGGAAAACAAGAAGAUAUACAGAAGCUGGAGGACCUCUUGCAGAGUAAAAACACGUGUAAAACUUUGGUGAGAUCAUUAUCAACUAUUGGUGGUGAAAACACGAAAAGUUCAGUAAGGAGACUACUUUCCCACAUGAUCACCACAAAACUAGCAGUAAACACCAACUGGAUGGGAAAAGGGGGGAAAUUGCCUUCUCUUCACUGAAAUUACAGAAAAUAUUGAAAGAAACAGUGAGGAAGAAUCGCCUCUGUGCUAAUGCAACAGAUCUAGACGUGGAAAUUUUCAACGAGGCAAAAGACUGGUUUUGCUUUGCUAGUGAUAGAGAUGGGGGACGAAGGAGAAGGGCAGAGGAAAAGAAACUUCAAAUUCAAAUUCAAGCGGAACAGAAUGAGAGUGAGCUUGAGGAUGAGACCAAUAAAUAAAUAGAUUCUUUGUAACACGCGUAUUACCGCUCUCAAUACUUACAUGUAAUAGAAUAUGAACAAUUUCCUUGUUAAUUUUGUAAUUGUAUCGGAUACCUUCUUUUUCAUUUGUGUAACUGAAUUUUUUAACUCUUUUAAAGUAAUACACUAAACAUUAAUAAAAUAUUAGGCAAAUGAAGAUCCCUUUCAAUUUGAAUAGUUAUUAACUUUGUUGUUGCAGAGUUCUGAGACUUCAUUUUUAUAUUUAAUAUUUUAUGUCAUGCCGUAUAGAGUUAUGGAACUUUUUAACUUUUUAAUAUGUACUUUUUAUGUCAUUCCUGCCUCUGAAAUAUAUAUUACAGGUCCUUUUCUGACUUGUCAGUUUUCUAGUUAUUAUGUACAUAUAUCAUGAUACUUGUAGAUGAAUAUAUAUUGCAUAUGUCAUUAAGAUUUGUUCAUUUUGCUUUUCAAAGGAAUAAGCUAAGAAAACAUUACUUUUUCGGGAAUAGUUUGUCUUCAUUGAAUCGACAUGCUUCUCCCCAUUAACUUUCACUGCUUUGUUAGAGAAAAAGUGUUUUAAAAGAGGAAAGAAGCAAUGUUUAGGGCAGCCUACUGGGAAAAUUCCAGGUUACAUACCCAUCAAUGUGUGAAGUAGUUUUAUAUUAUGCCAAGACAAUCUUACAUCAUCACAGUGAAAUGCUAGCUUUGUAUCAAAAUAUAUAUUUUUAUAUAUUUCCUUUCAUGAGUUUUAUAUGAUUUUUGUGUGAUAGCAUAUUGUGUGUGUGUGUGUGUGUGUGUGUGUGUGUAUCUAGUCAUAUUUACCUUCAAUUUGUUUAGUAAUGUAGUUUAUACUCAUGUGAGCGGUUGUUGGACUCGACAUUGUGAUAGGCUUUAAUAGUAUGAUUGCAUUGUAUUGGAUGGUAUUUGUCUUAAAUGUCUGGGACAUAUUUCUGAAUGUAAUCCUUUUUGGUAUUCCUGUAUUAUUUUGAUAUUUUUAAUAGCAAUAUUUUUUCACAUUGUAUCGUAAUAUUGUUCAUUACAUAUAUUUUUUCUUAUAAUAUAUGAAUUUACAUCCCAGGCAAGAUGUUAUGUGAAAUAAAAAAAUGCAAUAAAAAUAUUAAUUAUU
Long non-coding RNA from Ostrea edulis (European flat oyster), 1974 nucleotides. RefSeq lists it as uncharacterized. NCBI's taxonomy places the organism in Eukaryota, Metazoa, Mollusca, Bivalvia, Ostreida, Ostreidae. The record is from RefSeq and is a predicted model, not a curated record. The transcript has 3 exons.